UACCUCCGCGAGCGGGGCUGGGGCGGAAGGAGGCGAUGGAACGGCGCGGCCGACCGGAGUGGCCUCUAGUGGUGGUGGCACUGGUCCAGUGCAGCGGCGUGGACGGAAGAGGAGGAGGGAGAGGAAGUAGGAAGGGAGGGUAGUAAAAGAGAGGGAGAGUAACGUCGCGGCGGUACCGACGGGGUUCCAAGCGGCCGUCGGCGCGGGUGGAGGGAGGCCGGUGUUGAGGUCGCCCUAGGCCGGCGGGGACGGGCCUAGGCGUAGGAGGCGAGGCGGCGCGGGGCCUAGACCGGUGGUGGUUCGGAGGGUGCGGCUAGGCGGGCAGGCGGCCGGAGGGGGACGAACUAGGCCCACCUGCCUAAUCCCUCCUCCCAGCUCCGUCGGUGCUUAAGGUAGGACGUGAUGAAGUUGUGGCCGGAUAAGAACGUACUUAGAAGACGGCACUCUGUGCCAGACGUCUAGCUACAUGAAACAGGCAGAAAGGAAGUGGUUUCGUACGCAACACUCUAGUACUAACGAUGGUCCGUUGGGCCGCGGUAGCGGUUCCUCUCGCUCCUCCCCGACCUGAUGCGGUGGUGUCUCCACUCGACGCUCCCCGAGGCCGCAGAGACGUAUCCUCCCCCUCUCUUCGGCGGUGGCGUGGUGCACUAAGACGAACUUUGAGGAGCCUCGAACGUGGUCCUAGUUUAGAAUUAGCUAAGAUUCGAGUGAUCUUAUGGCCUCCAGUACCUCCUUUUCUCGCACAUACUAGCACUACUCCGGCUCGCAAACCGACGGCGACACGCCCUGGUGUUCUCGUAGUCGCUCUAGACACUGGUAUACGACGAGGAAAGGACGCUCUCCUUAAGAGGCCGUCAAUGCUCCUGCUGGUCUUGUGCAGGCGGACCUUCGUCGCCUCUCGAUAGGUUGCCGGGUGGUGCGAGGCCGGGGCCGCAGGGUUAGGGAUGGAGAGAGAGGAAGAGCAGGGUAAGGUCUCUCGGCGGCGGGGGAGAGAGGGGGUGGGGUCGACGAGACAGGAGUGGCCGCUGGAGGAGGAGGCGGCGGCCGGUGGUUGGGGAGGGGAGUGGUAGAGACGGAAGGGAAACGGGGUCUAGGUGGUUAGGUACCGUGACAGUCGCUUAGGCUCUUGUUCGGGCGGAGGAGGAACACUAACAACGAGCUCGACGAGAAUCUGCCUAGGUGUCGCUGGUGUGCCGUCUAGACGUCGCAGAAGCCGACUAGGUGCCACGGGACUCGGGAUGGGUCCGGGUGAAGCGGUCGAGGACGAGCAGCCGGCCGGCCGCCGAGGCGCACUCCCGCAGAGCGCAGAGCGACCGAGGGGUGCGCCGGAGCGGCGGCGUACAAAGUACCCCACCCACGAUACCUGGGCUCGAAAGGUACGAGACAUCUAGUCACCUCAGAGCUCCUAGACCCCGCGGGUAGUCCCCCGAUCAGACCCGCUUCCGGCCACCAAGCAAGUUCGUUCUAGCGUAACGCAGAACCAGUGGAUACGUGCGUGCGUGGUGGCUCGACGUCUAUUUACUACUCUAUGUUGUUCUUUAGAAUCUUCCAAACCAUCAACUACAGCACCUACUUGUUCUCUGUCUACUUCGAACU
This 1596-nucleotide ribosomal RNA is filed under the name Triticum aestivum (bread wheat). RNAcentral describes it as "partial small subunit ribosomal RNA". The record is from RNAcentral. Lineage: Eukaryota; Viridiplantae; Streptophyta; Magnoliopsida; Poales; Poaceae.